GACGAACGCUGGCGGCGUGCUUAACACAUGCAAGUCAAACGAUGAAGGGGAGCUUGCUCCUUGGAUUAGUGGCGAACGGGUGAGUAACACGUGAGUAACCUGCCCUGGACUCUGGGAUAACCCCGAGAAAUCGGAGCUAAUACCGGAUAGGACCUUGGACCGCAUGGUUUGGGGUGGAAAGUUUUUCGGUUUGGGAUGGACUCGCGGCCUAUCAGCUUGUUGGUGAGGUAAUGGCUCACCAAGGCGUCGACGGGUAGCCGGCCUGAGAGGGUGACCGGCCACACUGGGACUGAGACACGGCCCAGACUCCUACGGGAGGCAGCAGUGGGGAAUAUUGCACAAUGGGCGCAAGCCUGAUGCAGCAACGCCGCGUGCGGGAUGACGGCCUUCGGGUUGUAAACCGCUUUUAGUAGGGAAGAAGGGCUUCGGCUUGACGGUACCUGCAGAAAAAGGACCGGCUAACUACGUGCCAGCCGCCGCCGUAACAC
Molecule: ribosomal RNA, 488 nt
Filed under: uncultured bacterium
Lineage: Bacteria
Description: bacterial SSU rRNA
Rfam family: Bacterial small subunit ribosomal RNA
Source: RNAcentral